Molecule: ribosomal RNA, 425 nt
Filed under: uncultured bacterium
Lineage: Bacteria
Description: partial 16S ribosomal RNA
Rfam family: Bacterial small subunit ribosomal RNA
Source: RNAcentral
GUGGGGAAUAUUGGACAAUGGAGGAAACUCUGAUCCAGCCAUGCCGCGUGAGUGAUGAAGGCCUUCGGGUUGUAAAGCUCUUUCGGGUGUGAAAAUGAUGAUGGUAACACCAGAAGAAGCCCCGGCUAACUCCGUGCCAGCAGCCGCGGUAAUACGGAGGGGGCGAGCGUUGUUCGGAAUCACUGGGCGUAAAGCGUGCGUAGGCGGUUAUACAAGUCAGGAGUGAAAUCCCAGGGCUCAACCUUGGAAUUGCUUUUGAGACUGUAUGACUAGAGAUCUAGAGAGGUUGGGGGAAUUCCGAGUGUAGAGGUGAAAUUCGCAGAUAUUCGGAGGAACACCAGUGGCGUAGGCGCCCAACUGGCUAGAUACUGACGCUGAGGCACGAAAGCGUGGGGAGCAAACAGGAUUAGAAACCCUAGUAGUCC